GUGUCUCAAGUGCGUAUCUGUGUUCAGCACAGAAUUGAUAAAACACAUACGAUCGGCGGUAAUCGAGUCAACGUAAUCAUUUUGUGAGAAGAAUCGUUGUCAGCUAUUCUUACCUCACGCUAAGGAUAUCUUAUCUUAUUUAUAGACUUUUACUGGUACUAAAGUACAAUAAAUUUGGAGUAAUAUGGUUGGAAUGACGCAAAGACCCUGGACACCAACAAAAAGACGAGGCCCGAUUGCCGCCGAAUAUAGCAGUCCAGGACCGGCCUGUGUAACUUUACCAUCGUUAAUAGGAAAAACAGUUACAGAUUCUAAACGAGGAAGAGCACCAGCAUUCUCCUUCGGCAGCAGGCAUGCAGCGAAAAAUAAUAGCUCUGGACCUGGCCCUGGGCAAUAUAAUGUCACUGGGCUUAGCGCAAAAGGAAAAGAUGCCGCACCAGCCGUGUCGCUAUAUGGUCGAACGAAAUCAACGAAACUCGAAAUCACACCAGCACCAGGCGAUUACAAUCCGUUAAAGGCGGAGAAGAUAAUUCUGGAUAGCUCACCGAAAUAUUCUUUUGGCGUUAAAACGCAAAUCGAGAAGAUCAGUUGUACACCCGCUCCAGGUACUUAUCGUCCCGAAAAAAUGAGAAUGGAUAAAGCACCGCAGUUCACGUUCGGACUUAGAACGUCGCUCGAUAUGCCGAGCGACACGCCAGCACCCGGAACAUACAGCCCAGAGAAAGUGAAUUUGGAGAAGGGUCCGCAGUACAGUUUAACCGGCAAAAGCCAAAUAGAGAAAUGCAACGGUACACCAGCGCCAGGUGCGUACUGUCCCGAGAAAGUAAAAUUGGACUCAUCACCGAAGUUCAGUUUUGGAUUAAAGCCUGCUGUGGAGAAACCGAACGAUACACCAGCACCAGGUACUUAUAGUCCAGAAAAAGUGAAUUUAGACAAAGGUCCGCAGUACAGUUUGAGUGGUAAAGGAUCCGCUGAAAAACCCUUAGAUACGCCAGCGCCUGGAACGUAUUCUCCGGAAAAAGUAAGAUUAGAUAAUACACCGCAAUAUAGUUUCGGAAUUAGACAUGCCCUGGAUAAACUCAGUGAUACACCAGCACCUGGAACUUACAGUCCAGAGAAAGUAAACUUAGAUAAAGGACCGCAAUAUAGUUUAACUGGCAAAGGGCCUGCAGAGAAAUUUAUUGAUACACCAGCGCCGAGUGCGUAUUCGCCCGAGAAGAUAAAAUUGGAUACUACGCCGAAAUACAGUUUUGGACUUAGAACUCCUCUAGAUAAACUCAGCGAUACACCAGCGCCUGGAACUUAUAGCCCAGAGAAGGUAAAUUUGGACAAAGGACCGCAAUACAGUUUAACUGGCAAAGGAUCCGUUUCAAAAGCUAAUGAUGUUCCUGCACCUGGCACAUAUAGCCCUGAAAAAGUAAAUUUGGACAAAGGACCGCAGUAUAGUUUAGCCGGAAAAGGAAUGCCGGAAAAAUUAAAUGACAAUCCAGGCCCUGCUGAUUAUAAACCAGAGAAAGCUCUAAAUCUGGAACAUAAACCUUAUUACAGUUUUGGUGAUAGAAAAACUUUGGAUAAACCUAAAGAUACACCAGGUCCAGCCGAUUAUACUCCAGAGAAAGUUCUAAGUCUAGAACAUAAACCAUAUUUCAGUUUUGGUAAUAGAAAACCCCUUCAUAAGUCCCGCGAUACACCAGGCCCUAAUAAAUACAAUCCAGAAAAAGUUCAACAUUUGGAACAUAAAUCUUAUUUUAGUUUCGGUAAUAGAAAGCCUUUGUAUAAGACUAACGAUACGCCAGCUCCCGGUACAUACAGUCCUGAAAAAAUAAACAUGUCUAAGUCGCCGGAAUAUAGUUUUGGCAUUAAAACUGAGAUUUGUGAGAAAAAUACUAUACCAGGUCCUGGCGAAUACAAUCCAGAAAAGACAAUGCUUUUGUUGGAAAAAGCGUUGCAAUUUACUUUCGGCCUUAGACCGCCCUUGCACAGAUCAAACGAUGUUCCAGCACCCAAUAUCUAUAACAUUCCUUCUGCCCUCGGCGGAACUAAAGAGGGUAAUAAGAAAGCAGCACCUGCCUAUUCAAUAUCCGGUAGGCAAAAAGUCUUUACGGACGACCGUGUUCUCGUACCUGGACCGGGUGCAUACGAGUGCAUUAAACCAGACACAAUCAGAGUGAAAAGUCCAGCAUAUAGCAUGAGUGCGCGUUUUUCCCUGCCCGACGAUCACUCGCAGAUCCCAGGACCUGGAGCACACUGCCCGGAAAAGUAACAACCCUACUUCUACGUCACGACUACGACAAUUACAUCUCGUCCUGUUUCGUUCUCUACCAUAGCCCUUAGAAUUGAAAAAUGUGCUUCUCGACAUUCCCCCUGCGCAUACAUUUGGCAUUAGGCAUUCACCUUAUAUUUGUAAUUUGAAGGAUGCAG
Molecule: RNA transcript, 2421 nt
Organism: Trachymyrmex septentrionalis
Lineage: Eukaryota; Metazoa; Arthropoda; Insecta; Hymenoptera; Formicidae
Gene name: nucleoporin NUP2-like
Exons: 22
Source: RefSeq, a predicted model, not a curated record